RNAcentral lists this ribosomal RNA (253 nucleotides) under uncultured bacterium. RNAcentral describes it as "partial 16S ribosomal RNA". It matches the Rfam family "Bacterial small subunit ribosomal RNA", at positions 524 to 776 of the family's 1533-position model. The record is from RNAcentral.
UACGGAGGGCGCGAGCGUUGUUCGGAAUCAUUGGGCGUAAAGCGCGUGUAGGCGGCUUGGUAAGACGAGUGUGAAAGCCCGGGGCUCAACCCCGGAAGGUCGCUCGAAACUGCCUGGCUAGAGUCCCGGAGAGGAAGGCGGAAUUCCCGGUGUAGAGGUGAAAUUCGUAGAUAUCGGGAGGAACACCAGCGGCGAAGACGGCCUUCUGCACGGUGACUGACGCUGAGACGCGAAAGCGUGGGGAGCACACAGG